This is a long non-coding RNA of Tachysurus fulvidraco (yellow catfish), 2866 nucleotides long. RefSeq lists it as uncharacterized. The transcript is spliced from 5 exons. The record is from RefSeq and is a predicted model, not a curated record. Lineage: Eukaryota; Metazoa; Chordata; Actinopteri; Siluriformes; Bagridae.
CAUAACUGUUUUCACAGUGCUCUAGCUGGCACAGCUGGUCCCUUGCCAGAUGGCCCUUAUCGCUAAUCGUUGGAAUCGUAUCCUUAUUGGCUAAAGAGAUAUCAGUUUCUCGCUACUUGCUACUGGCUGGCCCAACUGCCAAACAAACGGCCGGUGUUCAGGAUAUUGGCUUCUAAGCUGUCUAUCUCUGCUCUACGGGCACCUAUUGGCUCAUGUGAAGGCUGGACUACAAAUAUAACACUGAAUUUGUAGUUCAUCAACUGGGAAGUGAGAGCCGGAAAAAAAAUGGACGGGAGUGAACUCCGUUUACAGUCUUCGGUCAGAAAAAUAACUAUUGUAAGGCGAGCACAGCAAUUUGGAUUAAAAGGCUUAGAUACUUCUUGGACCCUUGGGGAUUUAUGAAAAAAUAUUGAAAAUUAUGAAGCGAGGGAAGAAUUUACAAGAUGUGGAAGCAGCUAAUGCUGUUUUGAGUCACUCUGCUGAUGAACAGACUGUUUGUGAGAAGAUGAAAAUGAACUUCAUGUAUCGGCAAGCAAUGUUCAACAAUGAAGCCAAAUGAUCAGUUGUUUUCUUGGUCUUCCCACGAUUUCUGGACACACCAGGCCUGAUAGAACAAGAUUUCAGAUUUCUGUUUGGUGAGGCCACGGCCAACAAAUUCUUGGAAAAGUGUCCAACCACUUUUAAAGCAAAAGUAAUAAAGGAAAGCCAUGGACUUGAACCCACCACAGAACUCUUGGAUUUGAUGCGCAAUGCUGUCAGCUGCUGAAGUUGAGAAUGGCUGGGACAGUGACAUGUCUGCCAUCUUACUGCUGCUACAUCUGCUACAUCUGCUACCACCAUCUGCACAAGGUUGGAACCAGUGUGCAGCAGCAUCUAGACAACAUUACCCAAAGCAGUCAGCCCUACCUUCUCGCCCAGGGAUCCACACAAAUCCAUUCACUCCUACUUCAUUGUGGUUGACAAGGACAUGUGUUAAAACAACACAAUCAGUGUUAAUUAGGGAACAAAAAUGCUAACUUCAGUCCGCAUUCUUGGCUAACGGAGACAAUAUUUAGAGGCCGAGUCACAGUUAUCUUCACCAUACAUUGUAAAAAGUUGUUCAGCUGUAAUUUCUGAUCUAAAGGCAGCAGGUGUUGGUCAAAGUGAACACUGAAUUCUGUAGUGAUUUCCAUGGAAGAGAUUGUUCAAGAUCUCCAUCAGCAUGCUAAAGAGACAGUGAUACAGUAAAGCAUGUAUUUAGUUAUGAAAGAGAAACGGAAAUGUGCAAGAAAGUUGAGGCAUGUUUCGAGGGGUUAGAGAAUCCUUUCACAAUUCUAAAUUCGGAAUACAAGCGAUCAAAAUUUAUGACUGACAAGUGGGAAAUAGUAGAACCAGUUGAAUGUGUGAUUGGUUCAAGAUUUGACACGAGACAAAAUAAAAAGACUGGAACAUAUGAUCAGGUAGUAGUUCAAUAUAAAUUCAUGUAUAUUCCAAUUUUAUGAAAAACUGCAACAGAAAUGUUGCACAGCUCAGCUACCAGUGACUCUAGACUGAGAGAUAUUUGUGAUGGAUCUUAUUUUAAAAGUCACCCCCUGUUCUCAACUGAGAACUGAGAACUGACUUUGAGGUGGCCAACCCUCUGGGUCCUAAGCGAGGGUGGAGUAUAUUUUACUUUAAGAAACUUCUCUCCAAAAUGGAAUUCUUUGUUGGCUAACAUACACUUGUGUGCCUUAUUUCACACUCAAGAUGUUAAACGGUAUGGUUUUAGUGAAAUUUUUGCUCCCAUUGUUCGAGAUAUUAAAGUGUUAGAGAGUGAUGUGGGAUGUGGUAGCUCAGUGGUUAAGGGGUUGGGCUACUGAUCGGAAGGUCAUUGGUUCGAACCCCAGGUCCACCAAGCUGCCACUGCUGGGCCCCUUAACCCUCAGUUGCUCAGUUGUAAGUCACUCUGGAUAAGGGUGUCUGCUAAAUGCCGUAAAUGAUGGUAUUGAGAUUCCAUUAUACAAUGUUCAUGGUACUGUAGUCCGGGUUACUGGUGAUAAUUUGGGUUUGCAUAGUUUGUUUGGUCUGGUGGAGUCUUUCAGUGCAAGGUACUGUUGCAGGUUCUGUUUAGCAGAAAAGGAGGACUUUCAGACAGAAUUCUCUGAAGAUUCUUCCAAAGUAGUUUUUGCGCACCAAAGAUAUACACACUGCUCACUGUCAAGAAAUGGCCUGUAAUCCAUCCCUUCCAUAUGUUUUUGGUGUGAAAAGGUCAAGCAUAUUAAAUUCAUUGGAGUAUUUUCACACAACAGAGAACUUCUCUGAUGUGUUAGAAGGGGUGGGCCAGUACGAAUUGAAGUUAUUAUUUCUGUAUUUGAAGGAAAAACAUGUUACAUCAGCAGAAAUAAAUUCAAGAAAAAAAAAGUUUUGAUUAUGGUUUCAUGGAGAGAAACAACAGCCCUGUAGCUGUUAAUUUAGGUGAAGGGUCUAAUGAUCUGGGACUGGAUGCAGCGGGGAUAGUGGAUAAGAAAUUGGUGCUUUGGUAAAAGGUUUUUCUGAAGAUACAACUUCUUAAACAGUGUGUGGUGAUCCACAAUUAAAUGUUUUAAAUAUACACAUAAACCUUGUGAUAACAUGGGCGAGAAUAUAAUGUUUAUUAUUUGAAGUACUAAAAGAAGCAGGCCUCAGUGUUGGUCUGUAGAAGUUACUAAUUCUCCAAAGAUAAGAGGAACAUUCCGAAGUAAGCACCAGGACUGAACUGCAUCCAGAAAAUUGGGGCUGUCCUUCAUAGUUGGUGUAAGACACUGGUGUAGUCCACAUGAGACGCAGGUAUACGCCGUAUACCCACUAGGAAAGGCCAAGGAUUUCCGUAUACACACUUAAAAAGCGUGAGGAUACGUAACAAUAUCGU